UGGGGAAUUUUGCACAAUGGGGGAAACCCUGAUGCAGCGACGCCGCGUGAUUUAGAAGGCCUUCGGGUUGUAAAAAUCUUUUCUAUGGGAAGAAAAUGACAGUACCAUAGGAAUAAGGACCGGCUAAUUACGUGCCAGCAGCCGCGGUAAUACGUAAGGUCCGAGCGUUGUCCGGAAUCAUUGGGCGUAAAGGGUACGUAGGCGGGUAAGCAAGUUAGAAGUGAAAUCUUAUAGCUCAACUAUAGUAAGCUUUUAAAACUGCUCAGCUUGAGGGAUGGAAGGGAAAGUGGAAUUCCUAGUGUAGCGGUAAAAUGCGCAGAUAUUAGGAGGAAUACCGGUGGCGAAGGCGACUUUCUGGCCAUAACCUGAAGCUGGAGUACGAAAGGGGUGGUAGCAAACAGG
This 402-nucleotide ribosomal RNA is filed under the name bacterium. RNAcentral describes it as "partial 16S ribosomal RNA". It matches the Rfam family "Bacterial small subunit ribosomal RNA", at positions 355 to 776 of the family's 1533-position model. The record is from RNAcentral.